CAUCCCUAUUAGCUGUAAAAGCAUGCUUACUGCUUAAUAAAUUGAACGUGUUUGAAGAUGUAAAAAUUUACUAGCAGUAUAACAAGCAAAGCAAUGGCAUUUGGGAAUUCUUGUUCUACACUGACAAAAAUUUGGUGUGGAAAGAUCUGUAAAACAACUUACCUGAGGUAAUUCAUCAUGGCAGUGAUAAAAACAACAGUGACAGCAAUCAAGUCCGACAGUCCCUUUCCAUGUCUGUUCCCUACAGGACAUAAACAGAAAAACUUAUUACCAAAGGUAUUCACAGGUAGAGCAAUUAUUAUUACUUCAGGAACUGCUGAAUGAAUGUUUACAAAUUUCUCUUAAUUGGUGUCUUAAUAUUAGUAUACUCCUUAUUCCCUAUUAAAAUUUUGCAGAGCAACUGGUAGCUUAAACUUUAAAGAACUGACAGAACUCAGAAAUUACAUAUGUUGUAACGUAGAUAUAUUAAUAGUGAGAUAGAUACGUACAGAAGUUUUAGUAUUUUCAAAUAGUCUGAAAAAGUAAGAUGCCAUAACAUACUUUAGUACUGAUACAACACUCAAAAUGUAUGAACGUUAUUACAACAAACAGUUCUGACUCUUUUAAAAAUCUGUCAGCUGUUUAAAACGUGCUGAUUCUGUGCUACAGAAAAUAGUUAAAUCCGCAUGACACAAAAUAAAGCAGACAAACAUCUCCAGAGGAUGUGGUAUCAGUUGCCCUGUUCUGCUCUUGUGGUCUGUCCAUGUGCGCUCUACAGCACGGCAGGGCUCUGCAGCAAGUGCUUGCUGUCCUGGGAUUUCAGAAUAGGACACUGCUGCUCUCACUUACAGAUGAGAAGCACACUGACCCUACUGCAAUUAAAGGCUCACUUACAGAUGAGAAGCACACUGGCCCUGCUGCAAUUAAAGGUAGAUUCUAAGUCAGAAUCUAGCUUCUGCAGUAAACUGGAGUUACAUGUGGAGUAGCAGAGUGACUUUACUUAAGCACUACAAGCAGAUACCUGGCUAAAAUCAAAUAUGGCCUGAAGAGAAAAACUGAGAGGUAGAGCGAGAGAGGAAGGAAGAUAAAUGAAGGAAGGAGGAAGACUUGCAUCAGUGAAAACUGGUCAUUGUAACCCAUAUAUUUAAAAGAAGAAAACACAGGAGCCAGACGAGAAAACAUCCAAAAGAGGAACCAGAAGCCAAACACUCUGUGUAAUAAGGCCCAAAAUACCAACGCAGAGCUUGUGUGUCAGGGCCUCGCUGCUGCCAGACCCACACAUUAGGGGCCCACUGCUCCAUGGCAGAGCAUGUGGCAGCAGCUGCUGUGCCGGACCCAGCAGAGGCUCUGACACUGCCUCGUUCUGUACUUCUGCAGCACAAGGGCUGCAUUUCAUUUCCACUUAAAUGCCGAGCGAGGGGUUUCACUGGAAUUGUUACAACUACUAGCAGGCACGAGGAUAGCAGGAUUUACUGUGAACAGCCUGUGAAGACCAAAACAACAGUUGUUUUGUUUCAUUUAAAAAGCUGUUAGUUUUUUCAGCUCCAAGGAAAUUAAAGAGAUGGCAAGAAAUGAGAUUGUACAGAUUGCCCAAACUGGUGUUAAUUACUUUUUAAUCACUGAAAAUUAAAUUAGGCUUG
Molecule: long non-coding RNA, 1619 nt
Organism: Gallus gallus (chicken)
Lineage: Eukaryota; Metazoa; Chordata; Aves; Galliformes; Phasianidae
Source: Ensembl